UUAGUGGCGGACGGGUGAGUAACGCGUGGAUAACCUGCCGUAUACCGGGGGAUAACACUUAGAAAUAGGUGCUAAUACCGCAUAAGCGCACGGCUCCGCAUGGGGCAGUGUGAAAAAUUCCGGUGGUAUACGAUGGAUCCGCGUCUGAUUAGCUAGUUGGCGGGGUAACGGCCCACCAAGGCAGCGAUCAGUAGCCGGCCUGAGAGGGUGGACGGCCACAUUGGGACUGAGACACGGCCCAAACUCCUACGGGAGGCAGCAG
This 262-nucleotide ribosomal RNA is filed under the name uncultured bacterium. RNAcentral's name for it is "partial 16S ribosomal RNA". It matches the Rfam family "Bacterial small subunit ribosomal RNA", at positions 92 to 354 of the family's 1533-position model. The record is from RNAcentral.